CCAGCUGCAGAAGAAGUUCCUGAAGGUCUCUGACAGCGAAAAGGAGGCCGAGGGCGACACAUUGCAAGUAAGCUUAGUUAGUGGAUGACAUCCCCCCAAAAUAAAACCUGGUGCCUUUUUUUGUGGCAAAAAUUAUAAGACAGGGUCUUAUUUUUCAGGGAAACAAGGUAGAAUGAGAUCUCCUACAUACUUGCACGCCAAGCAAUCAUAAGCAGUAAAAUAACUUUAUUCAUAAAUGCAAAAUUUAAAAAAUCCUAAAUGCUUUCAUUGUAUUAAAUUAAAAAUAGUAUAUUUAAAUAUUGCCAAUUGUUUGAUUUCUUUCUUUCUUUUUGGGAGCAAUCAGUAUGCCUCACUGGAUCCCAUAUUAAAUAGACAAGACAAAUGGAAGAGCGAUUGUUUACCAAUAUGAAAUUAGUUUAAAACAAAUACUUUAGUUUGAUGAUGUAGUUCUAAAUUAAAAAAUCUAUAUAGGACAAAAUAACACUCCAGCAUUUUCCUAAGAAUAUUUUUCAUCAUAUUUGUUUAUCAGAUUUCCAGGAAAGAGUGACUUUUUUUCAGUUAGUUUGUUUUCUUGUUUCUGCAUGAAGAUUAGGUGAGGAAAGCAGACCUGCCAUGAUAGAUAAACUGUUUUCCUAAAUCUUUGUAAAAUCCAAUCUCUCAACCAUGGUUGACUUGUGCAUAUGUAUAUCUUUGUUUUUAAUGUUAUUGUACGCCUUAGUGAGCACUGGAUCAAAUCAAAGUCUUUACCGAUUAAUUGCCAUUUAUUUAUAUCAUGUGGGAGAUUGAAUACCAGCCUGUAUAUUUUUGAAUUCCAUUAAAUUUCAUUUCUUGUUUUAUAUUAUGGAACGCGAUUCUGUUUUUUUUGGGGGUGAGAGUAAAAUCCGAUGCGAGGAAUUUGAAUGCAAUUUCAGUAACAACUAAAAUAAAUGUAUCUAUUUUCCUGUGCUUGUUAUAACUUUCAGAAUAAGAAAAAUCUUAAUGAGAUGUGGGAGAAAAACUACUACUGUACUGCAAGAAUAGAAUGUUAAUAACUUAAGCUGAAAUGCAAGAUUUUUUUUAAAAAGGUUAUAUUUGAAACAUUACAGCAUUAAUUGAGUCAUUACAGCAUUAAUGUAUUCUGUAACAUAACUUGAAAUGCCAAAGUUAGGCUAGAUGAAUGAAUUAAUUUUCCUGAGAAUUGGAUUCGGUAUUGUGUAUUGCUAAAUCUCACUGCUGAGAACAUGUGUCAUAGGCCCAUAUGUAGCAACGAACUGUUUCAGUUGCUGGUGGCACUCCAUCAAGUAAAUAUCCCUUUGAUUCAGGGAGUUCUCAGAAUUGAGUUCAAAUGGAAAAAGUGCAUUAGGAGCCACACAAAAUACAGAAGCACCUGUGUAAAGAAAAUGAAUUAAUCUUUAAAUUAAUUAAAAUUUUAAAAUCACAAGCUUGUCUAGGAAUUUGUUUUUGAG
This 1445-nucleotide long non-coding RNA is filed under the name Laticauda laticaudata (blue-ringed sea krait). RNAcentral's name for it is "lncRNA (ENSLLTG00000003206.1)". The record is from RNAcentral. Lineage: Eukaryota; Metazoa; Chordata; Lepidosauria; Squamata; Elapidae.